RNAcentral lists this ribosomal RNA (253 nucleotides) under uncultured bacterium. RNAcentral describes it as "partial 16S ribosomal RNA". It matches the Rfam family "Bacterial small subunit ribosomal RNA", at positions 524 to 776 of the family's 1533-position model. The record is from RNAcentral.
UACGAAGGGGGCUAGCGUUGUUCGGAUUUACUGGGCGUAAAGCGCACGUAGGCGGAUGUGUCAGUCAGGGGUGAAAUCCCGGGGCUCAACCUCGGAACUGCCUUUGAUACAGCACGUCUCGAGUCCGGAAGAGGUGGGUGGAAUUCCUAGUGUAGAGGUGAAAUGCGCAGAUAUCAGGAAGAACACCAAUGGCGAAAGCAGCUCUCUGGGACGGUACUGACGCUGAGACGCGAAAGCGUGGGGAGCGAACAGG